RNA transcript from Rhinolophus ferrumequinum (greater horseshoe bat), 3135 nucleotides. It is a transcript of the gene named oocyte-secreted protein 2-like, with no coding region annotated. NCBI's taxonomy places the organism in Eukaryota, Metazoa, Chordata, Mammalia, Chiroptera, Rhinolophidae. The record is from RefSeq and is a predicted model, not a curated record. The transcript is spliced from 3 exons.
GAAAGAUGCUACAUGUGAGAAGUGCUGUUUAUCAUGGUUCUUCCAAGAACUAGUAGAGAAUACUAUCAAUUUAGCUUUAAGGUGUUUGCUCUGGGUCAGCAAGAUGGCAGAAUUGGAGGUGCCUCGCUCACAUCCCCCCACAGAAACAAUAAUUUUAGCAGCCAUCCAGGGACAAAAGUUCCUUUGUGGGAGCUUUGGGUUCCAGGUAGGAGGUUGCGAAACCCCAGCGGAGCUGCUGAGGAGGGCUGCAUUGAGAAGGCACACCAGUGAAGAGACUUGGAUUCAUACAAGCUAAAGCACAGAAUCAGCCGACUCUAAUUUUUCUUCCUAGCCUGUCAUCUCCCCUGUUGUGUCCUGAGAAGGCAGGUUCACUGACCACGGUCCUGGCUACAGAUCUGCAAACAGCCUUAGUAUCCGUAGGAUGUCCUUCUUCUAUGUUCUGGGCUGUGGUUGAACCGACUCUACUUGGGCAUGAUCACUUUUGCAUUCUGAUGGAGUGUCUCUGGGAAUUGGCUGUCCUGCAAGCAAAAUAACUGAGAAGGGAUAUGAGUUUAAGUAUCUCGUCACCGAGUAUGGGAUUCAGAAGGAGGGUGGACGCUCUCCAAAAAAACCACAUGAGCCUUUUAAAGGAAAAGAGUUUUCUCUAGCUGGUGUUGGAAGUCACCAGAGAGAUUUGGGAGCAUGAGAAGGACCAGUCCCUUUGCUGGUGUGAAGAUGGAGGGAUCUGUGUGACAGGAAAUGUGGACAGCCGUCAGGAGCCGAGAAGCCCCUGGCUGAGAACCAGCGAGGACACAGGACCUCAAGCGUAUAACCGCAAGGAAAUGAAAUCACCCAAUAACUCAGAUGAGCUUGGAAGCAUUUCUUUCCCAGAGCCUGCAGAUAUUUUGAUUUUGGCCUCACGAGACCCUAAGCAGAGAAUCCAGUUGAGCCCACUUGGACUUCUGAUUUACAGAACUAUGAGGUAAUGAGUAGUAUUGCUUUAAGCGGCCAGAUUUGUGGUGGUUUGUUAUACAGCAACAAAAAACUAAUAUAGAAGGUGUUUUGAGCGCUUGAGAGAAUUGGAAGGUCAUAGUUGCUGAAACCCAGACAGGCAGGAAAGAAUAGUGGGGAAUACAGUACACCAGUAAAGAGGAGCAGAUUAGAUUUCAUUUAGAAACAUGGAUUUAGCUCAAACACAGAAAGGUGAGUGAAAAAUUCAAGGAAAAUUCUUAAGAUUUAUAGCAUCAAACUGAUCAUAAACAUACGUUAAAAUAUACCUUUCACACUUGUACAUAUAUACAUAAGACACUUGGAAAGUACAUUAAAUACUUUUAAGGGUGACCACUAGGACCAGGUAAUGGAAUUAAGGAAAAAAUAAUAAAGUAAGAUGGUCUUUACAUAGAUGAACGACGCUAGUUGGCUAUGUUAGAGAAUGAUCAAUUGAUUUCUGGCGCCUGAGAUUAUAGUAAUAAUAAGAAGAACAUAUUAGGACACACAAACACACACACACACACACACACACACACACACUCAUGUGUGAAGACACAGAGAGAAGAUGACCACCUACAAGCCAAGGAGGGAGGCCUCAGGAGAAACCAACCUUGGUGAUACCUUGAUCUUAGACUUCCAGCUUCUAGAAUUGUGAGAGAAUUAAUUUCUGUUGUUUAAGCCAGUCUAUGGUACUUUGUUGUGGAAACACUAGCAAACGAAUACAGUAUGAGACCAAUAUUUGUUCUGCUCUAGGAUAUUUGACUCUAUUAUUAUGUUCACUGCUCAAAAAAUCUUUUUUCUAUUCUGGUCCAUAGUAGGUUAUUUUUGGAAAGUUACAAAUAUUACCUAAGAAGAGGCAUACCCCAAAUUGAGACCAGUUCUAUUCAGGGAAUACUGAAAAGAUUUCAGUUUAAUUUUGGAUUUGUUGGUGGUGUUGGACUAAUAUUCAAAGCAGUCUCAUUUUGACUAGUUAUUACCUUCUGCUUUGAUAGUCUAAGACUAAACCUUUUUCCAUAUUGGCCGUCAGGGGCCCAUCAAUAAUAUGGGAACAUUUCCAAAUGUCUCCCGUCUCCUUUCUCUCCCUGGAACUGAAUAAUAUGGGCUGAAAUAGGAAACUUUUUACCCACAAUACUAGUUUCAUUUGUUUCUGGAAGUUCCUCCUGCAGUUUAUUCUAAUCAGUCCCAAAUAAAUUAGCUGGAUUCCUAGCCUAUGUUAUUCAGUGGAACUAGCAUUAACCUUUGACUACAGGCGCUGAACAACUAAUGAAAACAACAAGCUUGCCUAGAACAAGUUUUACAUAUGAUGAGGUACCACAGCACAGUGCGUUAAGAAAUAAUAGAUAAUCCAUGAAAAGAAAAUACAUUUUAUUGCAAUUCCUUAUGAAAUUAAAAACAGAGGCAGACCCUUCUGAAUAAAGGAUCAUAAAACAACAAAGGGCCAUUCCAUUAAAAAUCAAAUCAUCUAAAACAUUUAAAAAUUAAACAAACAGGAUCUCCAGGGAGCAUUCCAGUUUCUAACAUGUGAUCCUCCUACAGUCACAGGGAUUAUAUCAGCUUCUGAAUUCUCACGUGAAGAUGAAGGUGAUUUUUUUUAAGUAGCAAAACUGAUUGUUGCUCUGCAAAGAGAAAAAGGGUCAGAAUCUGCAAUAGUGUGGUUUUCUAUCUUGUGCGUCAGGGGACCUAGUGUUUGUAAAUCACAGGGAGAGAGGAAUGGAGAAGGGAGGGAUUAUGUCUGAAAACAUAUUAAUAUAAGAGUUAUAUAUUUCUAGGGAUAUAAAUAGUUUUGCUUUUCUUAGUUAAAUACAUCAGAGAUAUGUAAUAUAUAUCUGAUUUAAUAUAGCAUCUGUCACAACACAUCAAAAAAUUUUUUUCCUUUUUUUCAUUACAUUUAUUGGGGCAAUACUGGUUAAUAAAAUUACACAGGUUUCAAGUAUAACAUAUGAUUCUAAUUUGAAAAAGUGCUUUCCAUUUCUCUAGUGCACAGCUACUUCCCUUCAGGGAGAGCUACAUCCAAGGUUUGUAAUAUACCUAUCUGUAUAUAUUCAGAAUUUCCCUCCUCAGCUGUCCAGGAAGAAAGAUCCAUAUCAUUUAGGAAGUGUAUCCCCCCGGCAGGCCGGCAUUUGUCCUUUCAGAACAGAGUCUGAGUAAGAUAUUUCUGAGUGCACA